This 465-nucleotide ribosomal RNA is filed under the name uncultured Dysgonomonas sp. RNAcentral's name for it is "bacterial SSU rRNA". It matches the Rfam family "Bacterial small subunit ribosomal RNA", at positions 1040 to 1515 of the family's 1533-position model. Lineage: Bacteria; Pseudomonadati; Bacteroidota; Bacteroidia; Bacteroidales; Dysgonomonadaceae. The record is from RNAcentral.
GCUGCAUGGUUGUCGUCAGCUCGUGCCGUGAGGUGUCGGCUUAAGUGCCAUAACGAGCGCAACCCACAUUGUUAGUUACUAACAGGUCAGGCUGAGGACUCUGACAAGACUGCCAGCGUAAGCUGGAGGAAGGUGUGGAUGACGUCAAAUCAGCACGGCCCUUACGUCCGGGGCGACACACGUGUUACAAUGGGGGGUACAAAGGGUUGCUACUUGGUGACAAGAUGCUAAUCUCAAAAGCCUCUCCCAGUUCGGAUUGGAGUCUGCAACUCGACUCCAUGAAGCUGGAUUCGCUAGUAAUCGCGCAUCAGCAUGGCGCGGUGAAUACGUUCCCGGGCCUUGUACACACCGCCCGUCAAGCCAUGGAAGUUGGGGGUACCUAAAGUACGUAACCGCAAGGAGCGUCCUAGGGUAAAACUGAUAACUGGGGCUAAGUCGUAACAAGGUAACCAAGGGCGAAUUCUG